GACGAACGCUGGCGGCGUGCUUAACACAUGCAAGUCGAACGGUGAAGCGCCUUCCUUUUUGGUGGGUGUGGAUGAGUGGCGAACGGGUGAGUAACACGUGAGUAACCUGCCCCCUUCUUCUGGAUAACCGCAUGAAAGUGUGGCUAAUACGGGAUAUUCUGGGUCUGUCGCAUGAUGGGUCUGGGAAAGAUAUUGUUUCGGUGGGGGAUGGGCUCGCGGCCUAUCAGCUUGUUGGUGGGGUGAUGGCCUACCAAGGCGGUGACGGGUAGCCGGCCUGAGAGGGUGGACGGUCACACUGGGACGGAGACACGGCCCAGACUCCUACGGGAGGCAGCAGUGGGGAAUAUUGCACAAUGGGCGCUAGCCUGAUGCAGCGACGCCGCGUGAGGGAUGGAGGCCUUCGGGUUGUGAACCUCUUUCGCCAGUGAAGCAGGCCUGCCUCGUUUGUGGGUGGGUUGACGGUAGCUGGAUAAGAAGCGCCGGCUAACUACGUG
RNAcentral lists this ribosomal RNA (494 nucleotides) under uncultured bacterium. RNAcentral describes it as "partial 16S ribosomal RNA". It matches the Rfam family "Bacterial small subunit ribosomal RNA", at positions 28 to 507 of the family's 1533-position model. The record is from RNAcentral.